UGCCAGCAGCCGCGGUAAUACGGAGGGUGCGAGCGUUAAUCGGAAUUACUGGGCGUAAAGCGCGCGUAGGCGGCUUCGUCAGUCAGAUGUGAAAGCCCCGGGCUCAACCUGGGAACUGCAUUUGAUACUGCGGAGCUAGAGUAUGGUAGAGGAUAGUGGAAUUCCAGGUGUAGCGGUGAAAUGCGUAGAUAUCUGGAGGAACAUCAGUGGCGAAGGCGCUCUGCUGGGCCAUCACUGACGCUCAUGGACGAAAGGCAGGGGAGCGAAAGGGAUUAGAUA
RNAcentral lists this ribosomal RNA (279 nucleotides) under uncultured bacterium. RNAcentral describes it as "partial 16S ribosomal RNA". It matches the Rfam family "Bacterial small subunit ribosomal RNA", at positions 506 to 784 of the family's 1533-position model. The record is from RNAcentral.